GAUGAAGAACGUAGCGAAAUGCGAUACGUAAUGUGAAUUGCAGAAUUCAGUGAAUCAUCGAAUCUUUGAACGCAUAUUGCGCUCUCUGGUAUUCCGGAGAGCAUGCUUGUUUGAGUAUCAGUAAACACCUCAACUCCCCUUUCUUUUUUUGAAAUGGGAGCUGGACUUGAGUGAUCCCAACGCUUUUCUCACCGAAAAGUGGCGGGUUACUUGAAAUGCAGGUGCAGCUGGACUUUUCUCUGAGCUAAAAGCAUAUCUAUUUAGUCUGCCUAAAAAACAGAUUAUUACCUUUGCUGCAGCUAACAUAAAGGAGAUUAGUUCUUGUGCUGACUGAUGCAGGAUUCACAGAGACAGCUUCGGCUGGCCUUUGUAAACUCGAUCUCAAAUCAAGUAAGACUACCCGCUGAACUUAAGCAUAUCAAUAGCGGAGGA
Molecule: unclassified non-coding RNA, 432 nt
Filed under: soil metagenome
Description: partial contains 5.8S ribosomal RNA, internal transcribed spacer 2, and large subunit ribosomal RNA
Rfam family: 5.8S ribosomal RNA (bases 1-120)
Source: RNAcentral